AACGGCAGCCGUUUCACCCUGUAGCCCAAGACUGGUCACCCACUGAAGCUAAGCAGGGUUGAGCCUGGUUAGUACCUGGAUGGGAGACCUCCUGGGAAACCUAGGUUGCUGCUGGUA
Ribosomal RNA from Sinocyclocheilus anshuiensis, 117 nucleotides. The record is from Ensembl. Lineage: Eukaryota; Metazoa; Chordata; Actinopteri; Cypriniformes; Cyprinidae.